GAGGUCCUGGAUGGCAGAGAGCUCGGCCCCAGUGAUGCCUUGUGGUCGGAUGGUGAACAGUUGCCAUACCAAGCGGGAUGCUCUCGAUGGUGCAGUUGUAGAACUUUUUGAUGAUCUGAGGACUCAUGCCAAAUCUUUUCAGCCUCCUAAAGGGGGAAUAGGCAUUGUCGACUCUGUUUUGACCAUUAUAGGUUCUUACUGAUGUGGACACAAAUGAACUUGAAGCUCUUGACCUUCUCCACUACAACCCUGUCAAUGUGAAUGGGGGCAUGCUCGGUUUUCCUUUUCCUGUAAUACACAAUCAGCUCCUUUGUCUUGCUCAUGUUGAGGGAGAGAUUGUUGUCCUGGCACCAAACUGUCAGGUCUCUGACCUCCCUAUAGGUUGUCUCUUCAUCGUCAGUGAUCAGGCCUACCACUGUCGUGUCGGAGUCAUGUGUGACCACGCAGUCGUGGGUGAACAGGGAGUACGGCAGGGGUCUAAGUACGCACCCCUGAGGGGCGCUCAUGUUGAGGGUCACCUUGUGGUGGAUGUGUUGUUGCCUACCCUCACCACCUGGGUGCGGCCUGUCAGGAAGUCCAGGAUCCAGUUGCAGAGGGAGUUGGGUCCUUAGGUUAGCGAUGAGCUUGGAGGGCACUAUGGUGUUGUACUCUGAGCUGUAGUCAAUGAACAGCUCUGGUCAUGUAGGUGUUCCUUUUGUCCAAGAAACCCACAGCAAGAAUGACUCAGUUUCUUUGUUUUCCUAAGAGUGUUGUCCAUAUGAUCAUACCUUCUAUUCCCAUGUUCUGACAGAAGACCGCUUUGUCCUAUGUCUUUUCUUCUUUCAGUUUUCACACUCAACAACUGUAGUUUAGACAUAACUUGAAUGAGAGUUGUGUAGCCUAUUCAGUUCAGUCAGUACGUCUUUCUUUAAUCCACACAAAGAAUGUUUGAAAUCUUAACAAAGUCUUCUCCAAUCCUACUUCCUUAGCUAAAUUGAAGACGACGGUUCCUAGUCAGAAAGGCACUACAGCACCGCCAGCUGGAUGGGGGUUUACUACUGUGCAAGGCAGCCUACAGACCAUUAGUAAAGGAGAGAGCUGUUUGAAAAUGUUACCCUGUCAAGACGAACAGCGACACGGCAUGUUGAGGACAUCGCAGAGAAUGUGGAACAACAGUUGAAAGACAAGUUUCCCAGUCUGACCGUUCUGCCUACCCUGACCCUGAGCCUGCCUGUCAUCCUGCACCUUGGCCCCACUACUCUGGAUCACCGAGUUCUGCCUGACCUGACCCUAAGCCCACCUGCUGUUACGGUGCCUUACACCCUCUCUGGAUUAUUGACCACUGUCUGCCUUAACCUGUCGUUUGCCUGCCCC
Molecule: long non-coding RNA, 1353 nt
Filed under: Salmo salar (Atlantic salmon)
Lineage: Eukaryota; Metazoa; Chordata; Actinopteri; Salmoniformes; Salmonidae
Description: lncRNA (ENSSSAG00000120407.1, ENSSSAG00020072985.1, ENSSSAG00075039810.1)
Source: RNAcentral